CCUACGGGUGGCAGCAGUGGGGAAUAUUGCACAAUGGGCGCAAGCCUGAUGCAGCCAUGCCGCGUGUAUGAAGAAGGCCUUCGGGUUGUAAAGUACUUUCAGCGGGGAGGAAGGCGAUAAGGUUAAUAACCUUGUCGAUUGACGCUACCCGCAGAAGAAGCACCGGCUAACUCCGUGCCAGCAGCCGCGGUAAUACGGAGGGUGCAAGCGUUAAUCGGAAUUACUGGGCGUAAAGCGCACGCAGGCGGUCUGUCAAGUCGGAUGUGAAAUCCCCGGGCUCAACCUGGGAACUGCAUCUGAUACUGGCAAGCUUGAGUCUCGUAGAGGGGGGUAGAAUUCCAGGUGUAGCGGUGAAAUGCGUAGAGAUCUGGAGGAAUACCGGUGGCGAAGGCGGCCCCCUGGACGAAGACUGACGCUCAGGUGCGAAAGCGUGGGGAGCAAACAGGAUUAGAUACCCGCGUAGUC
This 465-nucleotide ribosomal RNA is filed under the name uncultured bacterium. RNAcentral describes it as "bacterial SSU rRNA". It matches the Rfam family "Bacterial small subunit ribosomal RNA", at positions 338 to 795 of the family's 1533-position model. The record is from RNAcentral.